UUAGAAAAUCCUCUUCCCUCCGUAAGGGGUACCUGCGGAGGGAUCAUUACAGAGUUUCUACAACUCCCUAAACCGUUUUCAAUUUGGGGCCCCCGCCAUUCGAGAUACACCCUUGCCUUUUUGAGUACCUUUUCGUUUCCUCGGCAGGCUCGCCUGCCAACGGGGACCAAAACGCUUUGUAGUACCUUAACUGUCUGAUACAACAAGCAAAAAUCAAAACUUUCAACAACGGAUCUCUUGGUUCUGGCAUCGAUGAAGAACGCAGCGAAAUGCGAUAAGUAGUGUGAAUUGCAGAAUUCAGUGAAUCAUCGAAUCUUUGAACGCACAUUGCGCCCUUUGGUAUUCCUUAGGGCAUGCCUGUUCGAGCGUCAUUUAAACCUUCAAGCUCAGCUUGGUGAUGGGUGACUGUCCCCCCCGCGGCGCCUCAAAAACAUUGGCGGCCGUACAUUGGCUUCGAGCGCAGCAGAAACGCGGUCUCGAGUCCUGUGGAUCGGCUCCCAUAAGCCUCUUCUUUUAUUUUGACCUCGGAUCAGGUAGGGAUACCCGCUGAACUUAAGCAUAUCAAUAAGCGGAGGAAGAUCAUUAUCGUUCGGCUUCGGCCAUUUCAUAUAAAUCCUUGCCUUUUUGAGUACCUUUUCGUUUCCUCGGCGGCUCCCUGCCAACGGGGACCUUCAAACGCUUUGUACUACUGUAACUGUCUGAUACAACAAGCAAAAAUCAAGACUUUCAACAACGGAUCUCUUGGUUCUGGCAUCGAUGAAAACGCAGCGAAAUGCGAUAAGCUAGUGUGAAUUUGCAGAAUUCGCUGAAAUCAUCAAUCUUUGAAAGCACAUUGCUCAUUUGGUAUUCUUAGGGCAUGCUGUUUCAGCGUAUUUAACUUCAGCUCGCUGGAGAUGGUGACUGUCCCCCUCGGGGGGGGACUCCUCAAAAUUGGGCGCGUACAUUGUCUCAAGCACAAAAACCGCUCAGACCGUGAUGGUUCAUAGCCUCUUUUUAUUUGACUCGGAACAGUAGGAUAUCCGCUGACUAGCAAUCAUAAGCGAGAAA
This 1047-nucleotide ribosomal RNA is filed under the name Cladosporium sp. BSL10. Its description in RNAcentral is "eukaryotic LSU rRNA". The stretch from base 218 to 371 matches the Rfam family "5.8S ribosomal RNA". Lineage: Eukaryota; Fungi; Ascomycota; Dothideomycetes; Cladosporiales; Cladosporiaceae. The record is from RNAcentral.